AACUUUCAACAACGGAUCUCUUGGUUCUCGCAUCGAUGAAGAACGCAGCGAAAUGCGAUAAGUAAUGUGAAUUGCAGGAUUCAGUGAAUCAUCGAAUCUUUGAACGCACAUUGCGCCCCUUGGUAUUCCGAGGGGCAUGCCUGUUCGAGCGUCAUUA
RNAcentral lists this ribosomal RNA (157 nucleotides) under uncultured Aureobasidium. Its description in RNAcentral is "5.8S ribosomal RNA". It matches the Rfam family "5.8S ribosomal RNA". From Rfam's summary of the family: 5.8S ribosomal RNA (5.8S rRNA) is a component of the large subunit of the eukaryotic ribosome. It is transcribed by RNA polymerase I as part of the 45S precursor that also contains 18S and 28S rRNA. Functionally, it is thought that 5.8S rRNA may be involved in ribosome translocation. The record is from RNAcentral. Lineage: Eukaryota; Fungi; Ascomycota; Dothideomycetes; Dothideales; Dothioraceae.